GUGAGGGAAGGGGCCGCGGGCGCGCGCGCGCUCUCGCCGCCUCUCGCCCUCCCUCCCUGCCCCCCUCUCCGCACACAGAACCACACACGCACACCCCCUCCCCCGCCUCCCUCCCCGCGCGCCUCCCGCCCCGCCGGCCCCGCUCGCCCUCGCGCGCUCGAAAGGCAGUGGCGAGACGUCGGAGCGGCGGCCACGUAGCGCCGCGGCGGCGGCGGCGGCGGCAGUCGCCGAGGCCGGGUCUGCGGAGCGGCCCUCAGGACAGACAUUGGGCGGGGUGAGGGGCCGGCCCGGCCGGCGGUUGUUACUCGAGCGCCGCGGCUACAGGCCCCCCGCCGCAGGGAUGGACCCCCGAGGCGGCGGUCGGGAAGGCGGAGGCGGAGGCGACCGGCCCGGCUUCAGGAUCUUUCUGACCUUGAAGAAAGUGAAAAUGAAGAUAUUGUGGCACGACAUCAGAAGCAAGGCCUGAAGUUCCGUGCUUUAGAGGUGGUGUUGCCGUCCUGUGAGGGCAGGAGUCCUGGAACUGGCAUGGCUGAGGAACCCUUGCACAAGCUGGAGGAAGGGCCAUUAUCAUUCCUUAUGAAAAGGAAGAUAACCCAGAAGCUUGCUAUUCAAAAGUCUAUGACAGAUGCAUUCCAGAAACUGCUGGUUGUGGUUUUAGGUCAGCUACUUUUCUUGGAAGCAGUGUGGCCAAGGGGAGGAAGAAUGUCUCUCAGAUGUCAGCUUUGAGGAGGAGGAGUUCAGAUGCCCAGAACUGGGCUAGCACUUUUGAAUUUCCAGGAAGUCCGGGCCCUGUGACUUCCUUGGGAAGCUCUGCACCACCUCACCCCCACCCCUGCGCUGCUGGAGUCUGGGGCCACUCUGGUCUGCAGCCCAAAUCCUGCCUUGUUGUGCCAGGGGGCCAGGCUGGGGUUGGAGAGAGGGCCCGGCAGGAGGCAUGGAGUCAAAUGGAGAGCUGCCUGCAGGGCCAUAUGAAGAUGCUGCUGUUCCACGUCAAGUUCUGCAGGAGGCCCCCUCUCAGCCUCCAGAGAGCCCUGAGGAGGUGGAACCUUCUCCAGUCCAGGAGGAAGCUCCAUCUCAGCCUCCAGAGAGCCCCGAGGAAGUGGAACCUUCACUUGAGCAGGAGGCCCAGGCUCAGCCUGCAGAGCAUCCUGAGGAGGCGGAACCUCCUCCAUUCCCUCAGGAGGCCCAGGCUCAGCCUGCAGAGCGCCCUGAGUAUGACUCUGCCCCACUCCAGCAAGAGUCCCCAUCGCAAGUUCCAGGGUUCCCUGGUGAGAAUGUACCUCAGUUUCCAGUGAGUGAUGAGGCAGCAGCUCGACCUGGAAGUAAGUAUCCAGUUCACUCCAACCCAUCCAGUGUUAGACUUAAACCGGUGGAUUUGGAACUUACGGUCACUCCAGAGCCUGCUAAGGAAGGCGAGUUUACCGCAGCCCAGCAGGAGGCCCUGCCUCAGCCUCUUGAGUAUUCUGUGGAGGCAGAACCUUCUCCAACCCCGCAGGAUGCCACAGGUCCACCUCCAGAGCCUCCUGAGGAAGCUGAGCCUUCUCCGGGUGGAGAGGGACAACUGGCUCAGCCUUAUGAGCCUAAUGGGGAAGUUGUACCCUUUUCAACCCAGCAGGAGAGCCCAGCUCAGCCCACAGAGCAUCCUGAGGUGGUGAAACCAGCCACCCAGCAGGAGAGCCCAGCUCAGUCUCCAGCAGAGAUAGAGCCUUCCGCAACCCAGCAGGAAAGCACAGCUCAGCGUCCAGAGUCUCCUGCUGAGGUCGAACCCUCUCCAGCUCAUUCUCAAGAGCCUGAUGUGACAGCAGCUUCUCCGCCAGGCCAGGAUCAAGCUCAGUCUCUGCAGCAGCCCAGUGUCACUGUGAAACCUGUGGACCUUGCACUCACCAUAACUCCAGGGCCCACAGGUGAAGCUGAACCUUCUCCGCCCCAACAAGAGGCCUCAGCUCAGUCUGCAGGGUUCCCUGAGCAGUUGGAACCAUUAUUGGUCCAGCAGGAGGCUCCAGAUCAGCCUCCAGCCCCCUCGGGAAGUGGUGAACCUUCUCCAGUCCAGCUUGAGCCCCCAGCUCAGCCUCCAGAGACCUCUACAGCUGCCACAGCUCAACCUCCAAUCCAUAACGAGGUGACGUUCUCACCUGCAGGUCCAGGUGAAGCUCAGCGUCCAGUGAUGCCUGGUACCACAGGUGAACCCCUGGAUCUGGCAGUUGUCAUCACUCCAGAGCCUGCUAAGGAGGCUGAAAGUUCUCCAGAGCAGCAGGAGGGUUCUGCUUAUUUUCCCAUUUCCCCCGAGCAGGCUGAAUUUUCUCCAGUUCAGUCCAAGCCUCUGUCUCCAUCUCCAGAGCCCCCUGGGAAGAUUGACUCUUUUCCAGGCCAACAAGAGGCCACAGCUCAGACUGCAGGUCCCCCUGAGGGGGUGGGGCUUUCUUCGGUCCAGGAGGAGGCCCUGGCUCAGCCUCCAGAGCCACCUAAGGAGGCUGAGAUGACAGUUGGAACACCAGGACAGAAUCAAGCUCAGCAUUCCAGCUCGCCCAGUGUCACUGAUAAACCUUUGGACCUGGGGCUUACCGUGACUCCAGGGUCUCUUACAGCGGCUGGAUACUCUGCAUCCCUGCAGCAGACAUCUCAUCCAACAUACAUGGAGGUGACACCUCCACAGGCAGAGCAGGUACUGGCUCAGCAUCCAUCCAUGACUGAGUUCACAGUUCAACCUCUGGAUCUGGAAGUUACACUAAGUCCAGAACCUAAUACAGAGGCUCAACCUUCUCCAGCCAUGCAGGGGACCCCAACUUGGCCUCCAGAGCCCCAUCAGCCUUCAUUGUAUCAGGAGGUGACAGUUCCCACACCAGACCAGGAUCACCUUGAGCAUCUAAUGUCAUCUAGUGUCAUAGAUAAACCUUUGGAUCUGGAGCUUACCGUGACUUCAGAACCUACUACAGAAGCUGAACAUUCCACAUCUCCUCCUCCAGAACACCCUGAGGUGACACACUCCCCUUCAAGCAUCACUCCAGUCACAGUUCACACUGUGGACCUGGAAGUUACUGUAACUGGAGCAUCCAGUGUGGAUGUUGAACCUUCUCCAACCAAGCAAGAGACCCCAACUCAGCCUCCAGAGCCACCAAAGGAGGUUGUCGUUCAAUAUCCACCCCAUCAGGUGGUGACCAUUCCAACUCCAAGUAAGGGUCAUGGUCAGCACACAACACCAUCCAGUGUCACACCUCAUCAUGUAGACCUGGAGCUAACCAUGACUUCAGAACCUGCUGUGGAGGCUCAACAUUCUACAGUCCUCUGGAAGACUACAGCUCCUUCUCCUGAGGUGGCACUUGCACACCCAGACCUGACUCGAGUCACAGUUCCACCUGUAGACCAGGAAUUUACCACAACUCGGCACCCAGGGUCACUGAAGACACCUGCUUCGACUGAGCCUUCAGUGGUACAGUCUGUAACAUACACCUCAGAAAAGGAGCAACCGGAACAGAGCGCUCCCACAAGCGUGAACAUCUGUCAGCUCUGCACCUGCAGUAAUGAGACCUUGUCCUGCGUUGGUCUCAGCCCAAAGGAGAGGCUCCGCAGAGUGCCCGUGCCAGAGCCCAACAGCUACAAUGGCACCUUCACUGUCCUAGAUUUCCAAGGAAACUCUAUUUCUUACAUUGAUGAAAAUACAUGGAAGCCUUACCGGUGGACUGAGAAACUAAUUCUCAGAGAUAAUUCUUUGACUGAGUUACAUAAGGAUUCAUUUAAAGGCUUGCUAGUCCUCCGGUAUUUAGAUUUAUCUUGCAAUAAAAUACAGUUUAUUGAAAGCGGUACAUUUGAAUCACUACCUUUUCUGCAGUUUGUCAAUCUUGGUUGUAAUUCAGUCACAGACCUGAGCUUUGGAACGUUCCGGGCCGCACAUGGAAUGCAGUUUCUACAGAAGGUAAUUCUUAGUCAUAAUCCUUUGACAACAGUUGAAGAUUCUUAUCUUUUUAAAUUGCCAGCAUUAAGAUAUUUAGACCUGGGAAAAACAGAAGUCUCACUUACAACAAUUGAAAGAAUCCUCAUGAUGAGCCUUGAAUUAGAAAAACUAAUCUUACCUAGCCGUCGGACCUGCUGCCUCUGCCAAUUUAAAAAUACUAUUGAAGUUGUCUGCAAGACAGUCAAACUGCACUGUGACAGGGACUGCCUGACAGAGACCACACAUUGUGGUGAAGGAGCAGCUGUAGGGAACAUAGAAGGAUCGUUCAUGAAGGUGUUAGAAGCCCGGAAAAAUAAUACCAGCACCGAGCUGAUUAUUGAGUCAGAGAAGGCGUCCUCGGACAAACAUGAUGUCAGCUUCUCAGCCUUCGUCGAUGAACAGCUAGACUUUAAUGAUGAAACUGAUGUUAUCAGUGCACUAAAUUAUGUACUGCCUUAUUUCUCGGAGGGAAGUCUAGAAGAUUUAGAGACAGCAUUUUUACCAUUCAUUAAACUUCUUUUUUUACACCUACAAGAUGGAGAUAAGCCCCUGGGUUAUUUGGGAAAAAACACAAGGAAUCAUUUUGUUAAACCUGAAUCCAACAAUUUACUUUAUAAAAAUAAGUUGCAGACAUUCUAUCAUCUGAAAAAAUGGGCAGAUUCACAAAUGCAAAAAAAAAUCGAAGUUAAAAAGAAGGAAAAAACUGCCAGGCAUGUACAUGCCAAUCCUUUGGGUCACAAAUUAUGGCAGACCUUUCAAAAGGAAUUGGACACUGCCCAACCACAGGAAAACAGCCCAGCAAAGACUGAGAGUGUAGGGGAAAGGCUGCAGGGAGUGGACUGGGUCCUCAAGGACCCAGAUGUCAUCAUCAAAGGAAGUGUCAAUGAACUGAAGCAUUGGGGGAAACAGAAUGCCCAGCCAGCUGCGGAGAACACUGCCAAGGAAGAGGCGCUCAGGAGGCUGGCCCCAGGAGCCAGGGGGCAGCUUCACAUGAUGCGGAGGCCCCGGAAGUUAGUGGGAAGCUCUUUCAACACAAAACCUUUGUUUAUAAAUGAAGAUAAAGCAGCAGUCUCUUCUUCCCUGCCUCCUGCCUCCACCCCUCCUAAAUCUGAGGUUAAACAGGAAUCAAAAGACUUAUCCUACACUAUUUUAGAAGAUGCAGAAAGUAUAGUUAGAAAUAUGGAAGCUUCUAAACCGACCUCGCGUCCCAGAAAAAAACACAUGUUUCUUGGUCCUCGCUCUCGUGCGAUGCACAGAGCAUUCCAGGCUGAAAGGAACCACCAUUUGAAAAGGGAAGAGCUGCUCAGAAUAUCUGCAGGUGGGCCUCCAUCCUCUGCAGUGAGGAGCCUCAUAAACCCUCCUUCACGAGAAGCUAUUUCUUCAGAGGAACAACUGAAUUCUCAGGAAAAUCCUCUGGAAGAAUUUUCUCCUUCAGACCCUCUUGUAGGAAAGGUGACUCUGCCAGAAGGAGCUAUGUCUGAAGUCGCUGCCCAUACGGAUGUUCCCAGCACAUAUUCUGUUACUGCAGGCAACUUUAUGCCAACUGUUGAACACACGGAUGAAACACAACAGGAAUACCACAACGUGGGCACUGAAUUACCCUCUAAACCCACCGGCUUCACUUCCCCAGGGCCUUCAUCCUUGGGUGACCAGUUUGAAAUCCAGGUAAACCAGCAGCUACGGUCCAUCAUCCCGAAUGAUUAUAUGAGAAGCCUUAUUUCACAUUUGAUCCGGACUCUGAAACUGGACUGCACUGAGACGCACGUGAAGCUGUCCUGUGCCAAGUUCUUCACCAGAACAGGCCUCCUGAUAAAGCUGCUCAGUGAACAGCAAAAAGCAAAGAUGUCCAAGGCAGAGGGGAAUACCGACCUAUGGAAAGCUGAGAACUAUAUCAGUGAGAGCACAGAAGACCGGAGUGAACAGACAAGGAUGGAGUCAAAUGAGCUCACAGAAGAAGUUCCGGGGUCCAGCUAUACCAACAAACUCAUCUUCACAAUAUCACUAUCUGUGACAGUAACUGCAGUAGUGGCAGUCUUGGUUAUAAAUUUCUGCCUUUUUGAGAUUUAUUCUCACAGAACAGCAGCAAAGGGCCAUAAAAAAAGCAUAAGGGGCUUCUUUCAGUUUGUGCUGUGUAGAAAAUGCCCAGAGGAAAGCGAGAGUCAGGAGGACUUCUGGAGGAUGCAGCCGCUCUGGCUCAGGGACUUGUACAGACCUCUCAGUGCCACACGCAAGAAAAAUAUGGCACAGAAGCUACAUGAUGAGUCUUCUGAUGAAGAGAUUUUCAGUAGGGUUGUGAGGGCACCCAGAGAUGGCGCAGCUGACGUGGUUCUGACCAUUGAGCCGGAAGAGCCGGAUGAGGAGAGUGAGACGGCACCGGGGAGCGACGCGAUAGUUCAGAGUGCCAGAAUUUGACCAGAGCUGAUGGAAAAGUGACAUUAUUCACCUUUUAAUGCUUCUGGGUCUCUAAAACACCAAGAAUGAGAACUACCCCAAUUGUCUUUUUAACCAAAGAGGAUAUGAUUACAAAUGCAUAUGUAUCUGUGUGAAUGAAUGACCAAAUCAUGGAGGGAAUGAAGGUAUUUCAUGUAGGGAAUUUUCAAGGUUGGCCAGUAAAAACAUUACAUAAACUUGAAGAUUUGAGAUCUAUUCUGUUCACUGUUGUACCUUCAGUGCUUAGACAGGGCUGACAGUGACAACUUAAUAAAUUUCUAUCAAAUGAAUAAAUCCUGCAAUAUCAUGUUUAACCAGUGAAUGCAACAAUUUUGAUGAUUGCCUAAUUUUGCUGUUAUGGGUAAACCCAAGAAGGCCAAAUAGUAUGCAAUAUUUCAAAUAUUUUCUAUAGUGAAAUAUUAAGUACCAAAGAAGAUAGAAUCAAAGAAAAGCUAAGGCUGUAGACUUUUGGGAGAACUCCGUGCCACUUAACUGCUCUCACGUUACUCCUCUGAAUCUGAAGUCAAGGAAAGUUGACCUCCCCUACUCAAUUUCUUACAACAUUCCUAAGGAUCUAUGUGUAUAUUGAUAACUUUCAAUGCAAAUAAAAAUCACUGCACCAGUAUGUCAAGCCAUUGUUGCACCCAUCCCCCUUUGCUUCUGUCAAACAAGCUGUCCUAGGGUAAUUUUCACAUUGUAAUUUAAAUUACUUCAUGUACCAAUGACCUGAGAUUGACUCUGGAAAAGCCUGUCUAGUUGGCAUGUCAAUUUUAACACAGCUGGGGCCCAUUCAGGAAACAAAAAUCCCAUCUGGUAUUUCUGAACCAAGAAGAUUUAAAACAGGGAAAUAGAUACAUAGGUACAUACUGAAAAAGACUAAAGGAGAAAAAAAGAUGGAUGCCAAGGUAACCCAGAGAUUAUUAACUGCACGAAGAAGUAACUUCCCAUAGGACGAGGGGAAUAGAAGGGGAAGGCAAUGUUACCGGGAUCUAGGAGCUCACAAGAUGGUAUGACCACAUAUCUGAUGCUCAGAUCUCUGGGGGAAGCACUGAACAUUGCUGCCUCUUGGUCCUCAGCCAAGGUGACCCAGAAUUUCAUUCCUGAAGGGUCUGAGUCUUCAAAAGUACUGCCCUUUGUUUUUGGUUGCUGGGGUUGCUAUUAAAUCUCUGCUAUUGGACUUACAAGUACAAAGGCAUCCCAGACAGAGUUCCAGACAUGGCCCUCCUUGCCCCCCAUUGUGGAGCAGUGACACAAAGUCCUUGCUAUUUGGGUUAGUCACUCCAGCCAGCAGAGAAAUCCCUCUUUUGUCUGAAUGGCCCACAGAGAUAUACUACAAUUUGGCUGGAUCUUAGCAACUUAGUAGUAAUAUUUAAAAAUGUAAGUCCCCAAAGGUUAUUAUUGAUACCCUUUUAUAAGAUUAUUAACAGUUAAAUAAACCAUAAAAUAAGCCAAAAAAAUUUUUCUGGGAAUAGGUACAUAUGCAAUAAAAAUGUAUUAAAAAAACAAAAGCCGGGGGUGGGGGUAGAGCUCAGUGGUAGAGCAUGUGCGUGAAGUCCUGGGUUCAAUCCCCAGUACCUGUAUUUUAAUAAUAGAAAAGAACAUUUAAAACAAAAGGAAAGCAAAAAUGAGCCGAAGACACAAGAUCAGAGAAAAUUCAAGAGGGGAAAGUCAGAAAAAUGCAAGUGGGUGUACCCUGGAGUAAGAUGUAAGUUAUUACUGAAGUCCUAACUUUCAGGUCGCCUGGUGGGCCUAGGAGUAUUUAUAAUAUUAGAGAGAUAAUAAAAGCUCUGCAUGAAGCAAUGGUGAGAGUUCCUUUUUUUUUUUCUUUUUUUUUUUUUUUUAAGUAUUGUUUUGGGGGAGGUAAUCAAGUUUGUUUAUUUUAAUGGAGGUACUGGGGAUUGAACCCAGGACCUCAUGCAGCCUAGGUAUGCGCUCUACCACUGAGCUUUACCCAACCCCCGAGUUUGUCUUGAAUUAAGAGUUCAUUAAGAGAAGUAAGAGAACAGGGAGGAGUGGUGAGUCCAAAAGUUUAAUUAGGCAGCUCCUAAAGCAAUCUAGAGGAGAGACAGUUAAGAUACAGAUGAAGGAGCUAAAUGUAAAGGUAAUGUGGAAACAGAAAUAGAAUGUGGUAAUUUUUACGAAAGUAGUAAGGAGAUGUCUUAAGUUUGAGCCACUAGAAGAAAAUGAUGCCUUUAAUGAAAUUAAUUAACAAGGGAGUAAUUUAAGAAAAAUUAGUCCAUUUUGGGUGUGUUUUCAAGGGUUCCUGUGGGACAUUUUUGUGUUUGUUUUUGUUUUAUGUUUUUAUUGAAGUAUGGUCAGUUCACAAUAUUGUGUCAAUUUCUAGUGUACAGCACAAUGCUUCAGUCAUAUAGGUACAUACAUAUAUUUGUUUUCAUAUUCCUUUUCACCAUAAGUUACUACAAGAUAUUGAAUAUAGUUCCAUGUGCUAUACAUUAUAAACUUGAUGUUUAUUAUUUUUAUAUUAGAAUUUGCAAAUCUCGAACUUUGGGACAUUUUUGGGAAAAAAAAAGAAAUAAUAGACAACACAAGGAAGAAAAUG
Long non-coding RNA from Camelus dromedarius (Arabian camel), 8918 nucleotides. RefSeq annotates it as leucine-rich repeat-containing protein 37A. Lineage: Eukaryota; Metazoa; Chordata; Mammalia; Artiodactyla; Camelidae. The record is from RefSeq and is a predicted model, not a curated record. The transcript is spliced from 20 exons.